CGUCUAGGCGGCGGCCUAAGUCUCGCGUGAAAGCUCCCGGCUCAACUGGGAGAGGGCGCGGGAAACUGGGCAGCUAGAGACUCGGAGGGGGGUGUGGAAUUCCCGGUGGAGUGGUGAUAUGCGUUGAGAUCGGGAGGAACACCAGUGGCGAAGGCGGCACCCUGGCCGAGGUCUGACGCUGAAGCGCGACAGCGUGGGGAGCAAACG
Molecule: ribosomal RNA, 207 nt
Filed under: uncultured bacterium
Lineage: Bacteria
Description: partial 16S ribosomal RNA
Rfam family: Bacterial small subunit ribosomal RNA
Source: RNAcentral